CGGGGUGGAGGUAAUGUAUGGGGAUCUGCCUGAUGGCGGGGGAUAACUACUGGAAACGGUAGCUAAUACCGCAUAAUGUCUACGGACCAAAACGGGGGAACCGUCCGGGCCUCGCGCCAUCAGAUGAACCCAUAUGGGAUUAGCUAGUAGGUAAGGUAACGGCUUACCUAGGCGACGAUCCCUAGCUGGUCUGAGAGGAUGAUCAGCCACACUGGGACUGAGACACGGCCCAG
Molecule: ribosomal RNA, 233 nt
Filed under: uncultured bacterium
Lineage: Bacteria
Description: partial 16S ribosomal RNA
Rfam family: Bacterial small subunit ribosomal RNA
Source: RNAcentral